GCGGGGUGGGUGCCCACACCCCUCUCUCCUCCCCGCUCCUCCAUUCCUCAUCAAUACAGCCACGCGCCACCACCCUCCUACAGUCCUCCCCCCACCCCGCAGCCAGGAGGUGAGUGCUCGUCGUGAGGAAGCCACAGGAGGAGCUCAACCGGGCGUCGCCGGCCAGAGAAGGAGGAGAGGUGCGGAUGCCAGCCAGGGAGGCAGAUCGGGUCGCCUCCAUCGUCAAUACAGCCGCCGCGCCACCACCCACCUCUGUUCAUGAGGAAGCCUCAGGAGGAGGCGAGCCCUCAUUGCGAGGAAGCCGCAGAAGGAGGAACUCAACUGUGUGUCGCCGGCCGGAGAAGGAGGAGGGGCGCGGAUGCCAACCAGGGAGGCGUAUCGACUCGCCUUCGCGGUUGGAAAGGGUGCGCUGGUAAGUUUGGCUUGUUCUCAUAUCUCAGCGAGUCAUGUAUUUUGUAUGGAUCUAUCCUGCUGGGAUUAGUUGUAAACUUCUUUGCUGAACCCUACUGGGAGCAACGCAUCCCUAGUUUGCUUCCAGAGCAUAAGGCAUGGGAAGAAGUUAACUUGCUUGUUCUUCAUUGAUUCCUAAAUAAAUAUCUAAUCUAUAAUAUUUUGUUAUAUCUGUGCUCAGUUACAAUUACAGCAUGGGGCUGCAAGUGUCUAUUACCGCGGAACACUAAUAUUUGCUAUGUCCGUGCAUUUUAGUUAUGACUAACUGCCACACCAAUGAAUGUGAAUGUCUGUUCAGGAAAUAAGUAUCGCAAUUAGCAAUUUCGGUUUGUCCCCAUAGUCUAUGUGUGUCCCAUGUCCUUCCAGUACCUUCUGCUCUUGUCCUGUAUUUUUCUUCCCUUCUGCUGCAGAUUAAGUGACUGAAAGCAAACAAAUAAUUAUGUUGGACUAUUCAAAUUAUCAAGUACAGUAUGCUGCAGCAUAUCAGCUUCUUAAACAACUAGUAAGUAUGCACGUGCAACGCACGUAUAAUCAUAGAAAAAAAAUUCUCAGUCACCCUAGUUAGGCCAUAAUUAUGCCAAUAAAAUGAAUGAGUGCAAUAAUGUAGCUCAAAUCUUAAUUUAAACUAAAUAUAGCUUUGGAGAUAUAGUUCUUCUCAUAUGAGCAACAUAUCUCGUAUCAAACAUGCACACACAAUGGACUUCUAAACCCUGAAUACACAAAAUGCGUAGUCAAUUUUGUCCCGCGGGGCAUAUUUCACCUAGUCUCAUAACUCCAUUCUUUAUAAAAGCGACAAACCAUGUGUAUUUAAGUUCAAUAUAUAAUCAUUAUUCUUCUUAUAUCUUAAGCCUAAUCAUAUCUUAUUUAAUGUUAUGCACCUUCAAUGUAAACCACUAAAUUAGACACCCGUCAAAGCAUCAAUAAAUGGGACGCACAAUUAACCUUGAAAAGAUGCAUCACCAUGUAUCACAAGCUAUACAUACAACUUGUGCUACAAUGAGUUUGUGUAAAAAGUAACCACAACAAUCGUGAGGCUCCCCAUGCGCUACAAUCCACAAGUCACCUCAAGUCCUUAUUAGGUAGAAAAUGUACAUUAACAAAAUCAAAAUUAAAAUAGAAGAAUCGGAAGUAGCCUUCAACAAGGUGAGACCUUGUACCUACUGCACAAACAGGAGAGGUAAAUCUAAAAGAAAAAUUGUCUAACACAUUAGACCAUAAGAAACAAGGGAUAAAUAUGGAAGUAGCCUCAAACAUUUUUAUCCAUUGGAAAUGGAAUAGAAUAUUAAACCUAACAGCAGAAAAAAUGUUCUGAAAUACUUAUUAUAGCAUUUAUUUAGAAUAAAUUAAUUUCAUUCUUGCAGCGGUGCACACUGCAAUAGAGGCCACAAGAAAAGAAAUAUCCAGGGAACACUGAGAUAAGAUUAACCUCUGCAACAUAGUAGAUGCCUAAUUUGACUUCAAUUUAUAUGGCGCUUGUCAGUGAAAUAUCAUUUGGGAUAAUUUAUUAUACCGGUACAUGAUUCCCCUGCAACCGCACAAGAACAACAUAGGUUUAUUAUCCUGGGCAAAAAGUCGCACCAGGAUCAAGUCUGUAUCAAGUGUAGUCAGAUAUCCAAAGAUCUAGUUCUAUACAAAUAAAAUAUAUAAACAAGGUAUGCUCUCCAAAUGACAUGUACUUGAUUCUAAAAAGGGAAUCAAAUAUUUAGAACAUAACGUAUGUAUUUUCUUCUAGCUACACACCAUUACUUUCGACUUAAAAAGAAUCAUACCAAUUGGCUACAUAUAGUAUGACAGAACAUAAAUCUAUCCUAAAAUGAUACCAUGAUUCCAAAUAAUGCACAAUGAACCUGUUAACUAACAUUUUAAUAUGGUUUGAAAAUUGUGCAAUUGAAUAAGGAUAAGUUAGUCUUAAAGCCCGUAAAAAAUUCAAAAGUGAAUUAACCUGCAAGAUAUGUUUGGCCAUCGCACUAUAGGUGACCCCCCCCCCCCCCGCCCCGACUCGAGCAUGAGCAUGGCGAAUUGGUGCAGACUCGCCCUUGAGCCAGAAAAAACGGCAUUCAGUUUCAGUAAGGACAUAGAUGAUUAAUGGAGGAUCAAAUACUCAUCUCAAUGCUUUUUUGGCAUGACCGACAUGGAAGGAAAAGAGCAUUGCUACCGAGGAUCAAAUAUUAGCAAUGUAAGCCGCAAAUUCCAGGAAAAGAAAAAGAAUUCAGUGACCCCCACAGAAUAUAUACUAAUUCUGAGAGAUAGUGAAUUCGAAUUUCUACAACCUACCAAAUUUAACUAUUUAAGCAUGAGGUCACAAUCAAGAAAUAUGAUGCUAGUCAACUAAAAAGAUUAAAUUCAGAAUUGUGAGACUAUAGUGCAAAAAAAUAAUAAGCAGUACAUGACAACUGUCAAAGCAACAUCCCAAUAACUUGAAAGAAAAUUGGAUAUGUUAAAAUCAUGUGCGGACACCAAUAACUUGAAAGGUUAAAUCAUGAAACUGAACUAUACAUUCAGAAUCCAAGACAUGUAAAUAAACUGCACUGGAUAGUACAGACCUCUUAAAAGAUGGGUGUUGAUCUGCAGAGUAUGUGUACAUUCAGUACAAAGGCUCGUGGCUUUGUUUUGUCUGCAUCUCUGUUAGCAAGUGCAGACCCAAGAUCAAGUGUUACAGAAAUAAUCUCUCGUGUUAUAUCAGUGCCUUCUCUAAUCAAAGCAAUCACACCUGCAAGAACUUUAGCAGUCAGCAUGUUUGUUUGUCGUUACACUGAAUAUACCGAAACAGUAGGCAUAAAAAUCAACUUUGAAAGGAUAAUUUACUCACUUCAGUAGCUAUCAUCCUUAAUCACAAAUGAAGUCCAACUGCUGCUACCCGGAAGAUAGCUUUCCCAUACAUAAAGUACGAAUGCGGACGAAGAAAGCUCCCGGUGCCAGAUCUUGAGGUCCCUUACGCUAGGAAAGAGAAGAGCAGACAGUCGGCACAACGCCACCAUAUCCUUUUUCUGUCAAGAUCUUUGAAGCUACGGGGCGGAGUGAGAUCAAGGCCUGCAAAAGUUUUCAGGGUCAGAUGGGAUCAAGAAGGGAGACGAUGGGGAGCACGGUUGGAGGUAGGAGAUGGCCAGCAUGUUGGGUAUGCAGUCGGAGGAGAUAACCUGUACCAGCAUCGAUGAGGCGAAGCGAAGGACGGAGGCGAUGCCGGGAUGCCCCGGCCCGAUGCGCCUGGUGCGUCGUCCCUCCGGCAAAGGCCGCUUGGAGAUGUGCGCUCUUGGGGCAGGAGGGAGCAGCAACGUCGCAUGGGUAGGAGGGGCGGGCGGUCUCGCCUCGGCUGGCGGCGGCGCAAGCACGGCCGCGGCUGGCUCAGGGGAUGCGGCGGCGCAGGCGCCGGGGCAGUGCAGACGUGGGCGCGGCCGAACGGGUGCCAGUGCAGGCUCUAUCUCCUGGAUAUGACAGGACCGAUGCCACGCUGUGAGGGGCAACAAUCGGCGAUGGCGAUCAUGCGCAGAGGCGACGGAGCGGUGCAGUGCGGCGAGGUCGUCAUGCAUGGAGGAGACGUUGUUGGUGGGCGGCGUCUGGCACGAGGUUGCCGCCGUGACAGACGGUGAGGUCAAGGUUUAGGGCGUGGAAUUUCCUUGGUUUGCUAUCGGACUUCCGUGAUUGUAGGGACCGGUUGUUUUAGUACUAUUCCCCUGGUGAAGCACGGUCAGUCAACAAAAAAUGCUAAGUGCACACCAUAAAAAGGUUAGAUUAAUUAUGGCUGUUAGAUUGAGAAUUGUGGGCCUAAUCGUGUGGUGUUGAUUGGUUUAUAUGAUGUUGUGGGACUAAUUGCGGGGUGCACCUAAGAAAGUUCUUGUUUGAUUGUUUAAUAGUAGUGUAGACUAGUUAUGCUGGACUAUUCAGAUUAUCAAGUACAGUAUACUGCAGCAUAUCAGCUUCUUAAAUUUAUGUUGCAGCCUAGCAUAUACCAGCAUAAAAAAGUUACUUUUGCUCAUUGUGUAGAUUAUGUUCCUCUAAAAACAUGUGUGCCAUUUUCAGGUAUUAAUAGUGUGGUACUACAUGAAGUCAACAUGUUAGCAUAUUUGGUACUACUAUUAUUUGCUCUGUAAUUUGUGAGCACUUAUGUUUUUGCUGCAGUACAGACUCGACAUCUAUUUGUCUUGAUACAAACUAAUGUUCUAAUGAAGUGUGAUAAAUUUAAUAAUAAGAAGAUAUUGCAGAGAUUAGCACAAUGUUUUCCUGCAUUUUUUCCACCUAAAAUCCUCCUUCAACACAAUGAUUUUAUUGUGUUAGUGUCUUUCAAAUCUCAACUUUGUACAUGUAGUGUCCAUCUUGGUUCUGGUGAAUUGAUUUGGGGAACUCUUGAAAUCUGUUUCUUGUAUAUUGGCCAUGGUAAUUCUUCACCUGACAUUCUGCAAUGGCUUCCAACCAGGUAAUUAGUUCACAUGGGCUGCCAUUUCCCAUCCCUUCCUACUUUAAUACAUAUGCUUAGGCCAAUUGAUUGCUUAUUCUAGGUUUGUUAGUUUGUGUAUCAUUCAUGCCAUGGUACUUUUUGUUGCUCUCUGUGUUAGGUUACUUAGAACAGUAUAGUCAAAUGCGAAAAAAUAUAAUCAGGUUGGGAAAAGUGGAAAGUGUCCAUUUAUUAGGAACUAACUAAUUAUUCUUAUGAUGCAUUUUCGCGUACCAUGCUGCAAUGCUGCAUUAGUUUUUGGCCGAAACUUCUUGCUUAGAUAUGGCCAUUUUAUUUUUGCUACACCAUGGUUAGUUAGCUGAGCUAUUUAAAUACAAUUUUAGGGUUUUCUUGUUGCUGCUAUUCCUCAUGGAUAUUCAACAGGUAACUUCGCACCUAAUGUCAAUAGGAUGCUUAUCGGUGACGAGGGAAAUGAAAGAAGGAUGCAAUGGAAUUUGUACUAGAAGUUUCUCCAUGAUGGCACAUUCCACCUAGAAAGAGCAUCAAGGCCGACGACCCUGUUUUUGUUCUAUAGGCAUCUCUUCUACGAAUGAAGCUCCAGCCUAAGCAAGGGCAUGGUUUGUAGAUUAUUUAUCUGCUUUAUGUGUGUCAGAAGAGGCAGCCUAUUGCUUGAUUUUGUACGCUUGUUCUGUAAACUAAACUUAGCAAUGAAGCAUUGACAAUUGUGUUUGUUGUCAUCUCCCAGGUUUUGAGAGCUGAUGAUGAUUCUAUUAAAAGUCCCUUGUUGCCUGGAACAUUUAUGUCUCUGCAAACAACAUAACUAAGGUUAUAUGGUUUCCAAUGUGACUAAAGAUCUAAAUUCUUGUUGGGUGUAGUUUCUAAAGCACGGAGUUGCUGAAAAAUGGAAAGAUUUUCAACGGGCCAUGAUUUUCAUUGGGACUUUGUGCUACCAAAUUAUGUGUAUAUACAUCUCAUUGUACAUAACAAUCCACUAUUUUUUGCUGCUAAAGGGGAUUAGAUUUGUUACCA
Molecule: RNA transcript, 5869 nt
Organism: Triticum aestivum (bread wheat)
Lineage: Eukaryota; Viridiplantae; Streptophyta; Magnoliopsida; Poales; Poaceae
Exons: 3
Source: RefSeq, a predicted model, not a curated record